RNAcentral lists this ribosomal RNA (440 nucleotides) under uncultured bacterium. RNAcentral's name for it is "bacterial SSU rRNA". It matches the Rfam family "Bacterial small subunit ribosomal RNA", at positions 338 to 792 of the family's 1533-position model. The record is from RNAcentral.
CCUACGGGGGGCAGCAAUUAGGAAUCUUGCGCAAUGGGGGAAACCCUGACGCAGCGACGCCGCGUGCGGGACGAAGGCCUUCGGGUCGUAAACCGCUUUUGACGAGGAAGAAGAAUGUGACGGUACUCGUCGAAUAAGCCCCGGCUAACUACGUGCCAGCAGCCGCGGUAAUACGUAGGGGGCGAGCGUUGUCCGAAGUUACUGGGCGUAAAGCGCGCGUAGGCGGUCUUUUAAGUCAGGUGUGAAAGCCCUCGGCCUAACCGAGGAAGUGCGCCUGAAACUGGAAAGCUUGAGUACGAGAGAGGGGGACGGAAUUCCCAGUGUAGAGGUGAAAUUCGUAGAUAUUGGGAGGAACACCGGCGGCGAAAGCGGUUCCCUGGAUCGAUACUGACACUAAGACGCGAAAGCGUGGGGAUCAAACAGGAUUAGAUACCCGAGUA